Molecule: ribosomal RNA, 488 nt
Filed under: uncultured bacterium
Lineage: Bacteria
Description: partial 16S ribosomal RNA
Rfam family: Bacterial small subunit ribosomal RNA
Source: RNAcentral
GAUGAACGCUAGCGGCAUGCUUAACACAUGCAAGUCGAGGGGCAGCAUAAUGGAUAGCAAUAUCUAUGGUGGCGACCGGCGCACGGGUGCGUAACGCGUAUGCAACCUACCUUUAACAGGGGGAUAACACUGAGAAAUUGGUACUAAUACCCCAUAAUAUCAUAGAAGGCAUCUUUUAUGGUUGAAAAUUCCGAUGGUUAGAGAUGGGCAUGCGUUGUAUUAGCUAGUUGGUGGGGUAACGGCUCACCAAGGCGACGAUACAUAGGGGGACUGAGAGGUUAACCCCCCACAUUGGUACUGAGACACGGACCAGACUCCUACGGGAGGCAGCAGUGAGGAAUAUUGGUCAAUGGACGCAAGUCUGAACCAGCCAUGCCGCGUGCAGGAUGACGGCUCUAUGAGUUGUAAACUGCUUUUGUACGAGGGUAAACGCAGAUACGUGUAUCUGUCUGAAAGUAUCGUACGAAUAAGGAUCGGCUAACUCCGUG